Long non-coding RNA from Canis lupus familiaris (dog), 304 nucleotides. RefSeq lists it as uncharacterized. The transcript has 3 exons. The record is from RefSeq and is a predicted model, not a curated record. Lineage: Eukaryota; Metazoa; Chordata; Mammalia; Carnivora; Canidae.
CCAAGGCUUUCAAGCUGCUUUUCCUCGGGACCAGAAUCAGGCAGAUUUGUAUUCCACUAAGUUCCCCAGUCAAACUGUACCACUAUCUUGGCUCCUGCAGGUGAACAAAGGCACUGGCUGAGACUACUACUUGUGUGUGGCAGAUCUAUACCCACUGCAAGAAUGCUUUUCAGAUGUGUUAUUGUUCUCAACCAUCAACUUAAAGAGUUUUUUGUUCUACCUCCAACCCACUGAACAAAUGUGGUCCUGUGUUAUCCUUGGUGUCCUUCCUAACGGUGGUCUAAAGAUUCCAUUUCCAAAAGGC